UUAUAUAAAGAGUGGCACCGCAAAGUUAAGUUCUUUUGGGGUUAGAAUCUCGGCGAUAGUGCAGUAAGUAGUUUUAUUCUAUUAGGCGAACAGUUUUUUUCUAAAGUUUGUAAUACAAUUUAGAAUGCAUAUGAAUUAACUUUUGGACUAAAAACGCAUGCAAAUUUUCAUACUUUGCUGUGAAAAGUCACUUAAAAUCAAUUAUAUGACGAUUGUUAUUUCCAACGUAUAGUCGUGUUAAGGGAAUUUUCUGUAUGAGAUCAUUGUCAAUUGAGAUUGAAUAGUAAUGUGAAGGUCAGUUAACGGUAUGGGGAGAAAUUUUCUUUGUGAUUGUCUUAUUCCUAUUUUUGAUCAAAAUUGUAAGCAAAAUGUUGAGGAUUAAUUGGUUGGCAUUUCAAUAGUUUAUUCCGCAAGUUUGUUCUUCUCUCCAAGUUUCCAUGAUGCUGCAAUUCCUGUUGGAGGAUUCGUGACAAUGGGUUUGCAACACCGAUAUUAUUGAGGGGGUGAUUAAUUUGUGUUUCUAGAAGUAAUCCUCCAUUGCAUAAGCAAUUACAUGUGCUAUGUAACCUGUUAGCUAUGGUGUUGGAAUGAUAUUGUAUAUUUAUUGAAAACUGGCUGACUGAUACUUUACAACACAUUAAGUUGUUUCACUCUUAUUAGUUGAACCUGCCACAUGUUAAAGGUACCAUUAAGCAUUUAAAGUAUUUUAGCAUAUGAUUGCUUAAUAUUUCUUUGAGAAUUUUCUUUCAGGUUGGAAGAAUAUAUUAAAGUUAGUGUCUUUUUCACUAUUUGAAGGCCUGAAUUGCAGCCCAUUUCAAGUGAUACUUUAUCUAAAAUGUUAUUUCAUUUCAGAUUUCAAACAUUGGUUCUGUGGAUUGAAUUAGCAUUUCACUUUUGUGGGUAAUUUAAUUUUAAAAUUUAAUUCUAAAUCUCUGAAAAAUUUGACAGGUCAAGUAAAUUGUCAUUUAUUGAAGAUGCUUUUUUCUCAGGGUUGGAAUGACGAACGAGUUGGCAAGUUGUGCAAGGCGAGUUUAGCUAUUCGUCAUCUUUUAUUAUUACACUAUUGCACGUAUAUUUGUUUUUUUGAUGCAGAUUUUGGGUGGGUUAGGACUGAGCUUUGUUAAAGUAUUUAACUGAAAGGUUAAAUUUUUUUAUUCACGUGGAGAAUCAAAUAUCACAUGUCACAAUCUAUCUGUAUUUUAGGUGGUUCGGCAUCAGCGAAUGAUAGUCCCGACUGUUAGUAAAUGGAUCUUGGAUUUACUACAAUUUCUGGUGAUACUACGGUGAUUAUUCAUCGGCGGGGUUUGUUAACUGAUUUAAAAUACACAAAGUAAAUAAAGUUAAACGAAACGAUAAUCCUGCGAUCAACGUAUGGUCGUUGCUUGUUAUGAAACCGAAAAGCAUAGUGAUACAUACUCUGAAAUGAAGUCGCUGGCAAAUGUAGCAAUGUCCAAAAAUUUCCCUACACGUAAAUUUUUUCCCAUGUUAACAUUUUUAUAAAAAAGGAUGAUUGUGUGGUUUAUUUAUUUUUCUUCAGCCAUGUUACUUCAUGACUUGUGAUAAAACCGUAACGGAUAAUGCCGUAAUGUUUGUCUCAAACAUAUUUUAUACAUUUGUUUUUAAUCAAAUGAUGAAUAUAACGUGUGAUGAAAUGUUAAUAAACAAAAUCUGAAAUUACCUUA
This 1682-nucleotide long non-coding RNA is filed under the name Daphnia magna. RNAcentral's name for it is "uncharacterized LOC116935432, transcript variant X1". The record is from RNAcentral. Lineage: Eukaryota; Metazoa; Arthropoda; Branchiopoda; Diplostraca; Daphniidae.